GACGUAGGGCGCGAGCGUUGUCCGGAUUUAUUGGGCGUAAAGAGCUCGUAGGCGGCUUGUCGCGUCGUCCGUGAAAACCUGCGGCUCAACUGCAGGCUGGCGGUCGAUACGGGCAGGCUGGAGUUCGGUAGGGGAGACUGGAAUUCCUGGUGUAGCGGUGAAAUGCGCAGAUAUCAGGAGGAACACCGGUGGCGAAGGCGGCAUCCUGGACCGGCAUUGACGCUGAGGCGCGAAAGCCAGGGGAGCAAACGGG
RNAcentral lists this ribosomal RNA (253 nucleotides) under uncultured bacterium. RNAcentral's name for it is "partial 16S ribosomal RNA". It matches the Rfam family "Bacterial small subunit ribosomal RNA", at positions 524 to 776 of the family's 1533-position model. The record is from RNAcentral.